RNAcentral lists this long non-coding RNA (738 nucleotides) under Homo sapiens (human). RNAcentral's name for it is "long non-coding RNA NONHSAT216722.1". The record is from RNAcentral. Lineage: Eukaryota; Metazoa; Chordata; Mammalia; Primates; Hominidae.
UGAUUCCUUAUGCCAGUAGAAGAACAAUACCUGGAGGUCCUGAAAGGUGAAGAUAACAGAAUCACGGGGAUGGUUUCCCCCACACUGUCCUUGUGGUAGUGAAGAAGUCUCAUGAGAGCUGAUGGUUUCAUAACGGGGAGUUCCCCUGCACACACUCCCUUGCCUGCUGCCAUGUAAGAUGGGACGCUGCUCCUCAUUCACCUUCUGCCAUGACUGUGAGGCCUCCCACGCCAUGUGGAACUGUUUACCCGGGUCUAUCUUUACUUUUCAAGUUCAGACAUGUCACUGGUUUUCUGCUGCCCCUUUUGGCUCCAUUCCACGUGCGUCCAUACAAACCGGCUGCUGCACCUGGAGGCUGAGCAGCCCACAGCUUCAUUGAGUCAGAGCCCCGUCUACACCAUCACGACGGCAGUGUGGCGUCUGCACAGAGAUACGUUUCUCUUGGCUUUCUGCUGUACUCCGGGCUGGCUGUUAUCAGCCCUGCUACUGUGAUGGUCAACAUUGAGUGUCAACUUGAUUGGACUGAAGGAUGAAGUACUGUUCCUUGGUGUGUCUGUGAGGAGCAUGUUGAUUUGGCAAAGAACAGUUUGGCUUUGAAGAGGGAGCACCAUUUUGCCUGUUUCUCAUGUGUGAGCAGACGGACUCAGAAAGCACUGGUUCCAAUCCAGAUUUGCUGUUAAGCACAGCGCCCUCCACAACCAUCCAUGAAGUGGAGCAGAAGAACUUCCGCCUUUCAGA